RNAcentral lists this ribosomal RNA (426 nucleotides) under Triticum aestivum (bread wheat). Its description in RNAcentral is "partial small subunit ribosomal RNA". The record is from RNAcentral. Lineage: Eukaryota; Viridiplantae; Streptophyta; Magnoliopsida; Poales; Poaceae.
AUGGUCAAAUCUAUAUAUAUGGAUCAAAUUAAUACUCGCUCAAUCCCAAGAUCGUUACAUAUCUGGAAAAUUAAGGUUUCCUUGCGUAUCAAGACUUUCAUGUGGUUUGUCCACAAGCAAGUGAUCCUCACCAAAGAAAAAUUAAUAAAACGGCGUUGGGUAGGAAGUGCACGUUGUUGUUUUUGUGAUCGUGAUGAAACAAUACAACACCUAUUCAUAGAUUGCCCUCUUGCGAAAUUACUUUGGGGAAUGGUUCAUAUAGCCUUUAACAUUAUUCCUCCGGUUAGCAUUGAAGCGUUACUUGGGACAUGGCUAGCUGGAGUAGAUCUUAUUACGGCGUCCCGUAUUCGGAUUGGAAUAUGUGCGCUUAUUUGGGCUAUAUGGAAUUGCAGGAAUGAUAAUUUUUUAACAGACAACAUACUUUAA